UACAGAGGUCUCAAGCGUUGUUCGGAAUUACUGGGCGUAAAGCGUGCGCAGGCGGCUUUGCAAGACAGAUGUGAAAUCCCCGGGCUCAACCUGGGAACUGCAUUUGUGACUGCAUGGCUAGAGUACGGUAGAGGGGGAUGGAAUUCCGCGUGUAGCAGUGAAAUGCGUAGAUAUGCGGAGGAACACCGAUGGCGAAGGCAAUCCCCUGGACCUGUACUGACGCUCAUGCACGAAAGCGUGGGGAGCGAACAGG
This 253-nucleotide ribosomal RNA is filed under the name uncultured bacterium. RNAcentral's name for it is "partial 16S ribosomal RNA". It matches the Rfam family "Bacterial small subunit ribosomal RNA", at positions 524 to 776 of the family's 1533-position model. The record is from RNAcentral.